This 253-nucleotide ribosomal RNA is filed under the name uncultured bacterium. Its description in RNAcentral is "partial 16S ribosomal RNA". It matches the Rfam family "Bacterial small subunit ribosomal RNA", at positions 524 to 776 of the family's 1533-position model. The record is from RNAcentral.
UACGUGGGUUGCAAGCGUUGUCCGGAAUUAUUGGGCGUAAAGGGCGCGUAGGCGGCCUGAUAAGUCAGAUGUGAAAUCCCGAGGCUCAAUUUCGGACUGGCAUUUGAAACUGUCGGGCUAGAGUGCAGGAGAGGAAAGUGGAAUUCCUAGUGUAGCGGUGAAAUGCGUAGAGAUUAGGAGGAACACCAGUGGCGAAGGCGACUUUCUGGACUGUAACUGACGCUGAGGCGCGAAAGCGUGGGGAGCAAACAGG